AACAGCCUAAUAGAUUAGCUUUUUGUGAUUAACCUUGUGUCAUGUUCUUCUUUCAGAUCUAGGUUUACUGUAAUAACCCUAUGAGGUACGUAAAACGUUAUCGCAACCUUUUCACGACAUAAACACAUUUUUAACGUAACUUGCUGGGUACACCCUUUAUUGUUGACCGAGUUAGACCGUAAAUAUGAUGCUGUAGUGCGCGCUACAGAGAUUCGUCACCAAAAUUACACCUGUUAGACUACCACACCUUACUUUACAAACGUCAACACUCCUUAUAUUUACUGGCCCAAUUUUUGUCUUGUCAGUCUGUAAACUUUGAACGAAAACGCAUCACAUAGAGCAUUGCAAGGACUAUUGUAAGGAAUAUUGUUCGUUAUUCAUGGUUAUUAUGACUUUGAAGAGCGGGAGAAGUUUUUUUCUUUCUAGUCAGGAUGGCACAAGGAAACUUUUAUUCACCCUGUUGUUUGUGUGGUGUGCUAUUAAUUCUGCGACUAGAGUUGGGUAAGUGAUUGUUUGGAUUUCAAUUAUGUGUCAUUACUUUU
Long non-coding RNA from Cyprinus carpio carpio, 542 nucleotides. Lineage: Eukaryota; Metazoa; Chordata; Actinopteri; Cypriniformes; Cyprinidae. The record is from Ensembl.